Non-coding RNA from Bemisia tabaci, 868 nucleotides. Lineage: Eukaryota; Metazoa; Arthropoda; Insecta; Hemiptera; Aleyrodidae. The record is from RefSeq and is a predicted model, not a curated record.
GUCAUCACAUGAAAUAAUUAUCAAUUCUGUUGUGGACUAAAUAUUUUGAAUGAAACGAACAGUUCACUCCGGAUUCUACCGGAGUACCUAUUUCAGCAAGCCCCUGAUCUUUCUGCAGAAUAAUCUGAGAAUAAUUUCGUUCACUUUUUCGCCAUGGUCGCGUUUCUUCCAUCGUGGUUGGCAGCAUUUCAAGGUUCGGUGUGGUGCUACAAAUCCUUACUCGAAUCGUUGGACGAUGUAAACCAUAUUAUUUGGUUCAACGCUGUGCAUAUCUCCAACAUGUUCAUCCAAUUUUACAAAUGGUUGUUGGCUUCUACAGUCCUCAAGGAUUUUACAUGACUUAUCAAUAAUGUGUUAUGUCAUCGUGCCUAUCCCUCGUGUAGUUUAAAUCGUGUUGAUUCUAUGCUCCUUCUUGCAAUGAAACUGCCGUUACAUUCGAAAAUUUUCAAUUGCUUCUUCGGCAUUUCAUGUUUUGAAUCAAAUCUCCUCGCUUAAGUGACACAGAUGGAGCGACUCGUUUGGCAUCGGUCUCGUUUCUAGAUUAGCCUCCUCCCUCGUAAUUCAAGCGAAAUGGAGCACGCAAGAGCCCGAAACUACGAGUUGCUCGAGGCAAAAUGGAGCCUAAAAGUCAUGUUGUUACAUGCCUGUGUGCUGCCUAAACAAAUAAAUCAAUAACUACGCGUUUUAUGAUCCUACCUGAACGAGCGUAUCCAGAAUCAGUCUAAGUGCGUCAGCCGUUUCCAAAUCUCCUUUUAUAUUUUUUCAUCAGAAAACAAAACAGCAUUCGGAAAUAAAAUGUUGUGAGUAAGAGUAUUUCGACGUUGAACUGAAAUAAAUGGUACGAUGCUUUGGUCACGAUGCUUCAAAA